This 495-nucleotide ribosomal RNA is filed under the name uncultured bacterium. Its description in RNAcentral is "partial 16S ribosomal RNA". It matches the Rfam family "Bacterial small subunit ribosomal RNA", at positions 28 to 505 of the family's 1533-position model. The record is from RNAcentral.
GAUGAACGCUGGCGGCGUGCCUAAUACAUGCAAGUCGAGCGAACAGACGAGGAGCUUGCUCCUCUGACGUUAGCGGCGGACGGGUGAGUAACACGUGGAUAACCUACCUAUAAGACUGGGAUAACUUCGGGAAACCGGAGCUAAUACCGGAUAAUAUAUUGAACCGCAUGGUUCAAUAGUGAAAGACGGUUUUGCUGUCACUUAUAGAUGGAUCCGCGCCGCAUUAGCUAGUUGGUAAGGUAACGGCUUACCAAGGCGACGAUGCGUAGCCGACCUGAGAGGGGGAGCGGCAACACUGGAACUGAGACACGGUCAAGACUCCUACGGGAGGCAGAAGUAGGGAAUCUUCCGCAAGGGGCGAAAGCCUGACGGAGCAACGCCGCGUGAGUGAUGAAGGUCUUCGGAUCGGAAAACUCUGUUAUUAGGGAAGAACAAAUGUGUAAGUAACUAUGCACGUCUGGACGGUACCUAAUAAGAAAGCCACGGCUAACUACG